RNAcentral lists this ribosomal RNA (476 nucleotides) under uncultured bacterium. Its description in RNAcentral is "bacterial SSU rRNA". It matches the Rfam family "Bacterial small subunit ribosomal RNA", at positions 67 to 518 of the family's 1533-position model. The record is from RNAcentral.
UUUCUAUGGAAGCUUGCUUCCACUGAGAAGAUAGUGGCGAACGGGUGAGGUAACACGUGGGUAACCUGCCCAUAAGAGGGGGGAGUAACAUCCGGAAACGGGUGCUAAUACUGCAUAGUUUUCUUGAUCGCAUGAUUGAGAAAGGAAAGACGGCCUUUGUGCUGUCGCUUAUGGAUGGACCCGCGGCGUAUUAGUUAGUUGGUGAGGUAACGGCUCACCAAGACGAUGAUACGUAGCCGACCUGAGAGGGUGAUCGGCCACAUUGGGACUGAGACACGGCCCAAACUCCUACGGGAGGCAGCAGUAGGGAAUCUUCCGCAAUGGACGAAAGUCUGACGGAGCAACGCCGCGUGAGUGAAAGAAGGUUUUCGGAUCGUAAAACUCUGUUGUCAGAGAAGAACAAGUUGGAGAGUAACUGCUCCAGCCUUGACGGUAUCUGACCAGAAAGCCACGGCUAACUACGUGCCAGCCGCCGC